Molecule: ribosomal RNA, 254 nt
Filed under: uncultured bacterium
Lineage: Bacteria
Description: partial 16S ribosomal RNA
Rfam family: Bacterial small subunit ribosomal RNA
Source: RNAcentral
UACGAGUGCCCCAAGCGUUAUCCGGAAUUAUUGGGCGUAAAGGGUGUGUAGGUGGUCUAGUUAGUCUCAUGUCAAAUUCUUCGGCUUAACCGGGGUACCGCAUGGGAUACGGCUAGACUAGAGGAUGCGAGGGGUGAAUGGAACUCAUGGAGUAGGGGUGAAAUCCGUUGAUAUCAUGGGGAACACCAAAAGCGAAGGCAGUUCACUGGCGCACUCCUGACACUGAAACACGAAAGCGUGGGUAGCGAAGUGGG